This 306-nucleotide unclassified non-coding RNA is filed under the name plant metagenome. Its description in RNAcentral is "partial contains 5.8S ribosomal RNA, internal transcribed spacer 2, and large subunit ribosomal RNA". The stretch from base 1 to 105 matches the Rfam family "5.8S ribosomal RNA", at positions 50 to 154 of the family's 154-position model. The record is from RNAcentral.
GAAAUGCGAUAAGUAAUGUGAAUUGCAGAAUGCAGUGAAUCAUCGAAUCUUUGAACGCACAUUGCGCCCGCCAGUAUUCUGGCGGGCAUGCCUGUCCGAGCGUCAUUUCAACCAUCAAGCCCCCGGGCUUGUGUUGGGGACCUGCGGCUGCCCGCAGGCCCUGAAAACCAGUGGCGGGCUCGCUGUCACACCGAGCGUAGUAGCAAUCACCUCGCUCAGGGCGUGCUGCGGGUUCCGGCCGUUAAACAGCCUUACAAAACCCAAGGUUGACCUCGGAUCAGGUAGGAAGACCCGCUGAACUUAAGC